RNAcentral lists this ribosomal RNA (198 nucleotides) under uncultured bacterium. RNAcentral describes it as "partial 16S ribosomal RNA". It matches the Rfam family "Bacterial small subunit ribosomal RNA", at positions 328 to 539 of the family's 1533-position model. The record is from RNAcentral.
ACGCUCGACACCUACGGGAGGUAGCAGUGGGGAAUAUUGCACAAUGGGGGAAACCCUGAUGCAGCGACGCCGCGUGGAGGAAGAAGGUCUUCGGAUUGUAAACUCCUGUUGUUGGGGAAAAANAGGAUGGUACCCAACAAGGAAGUGACGGCUAACUACGUGCCGGCAGCCGCGGUAAUCUGAGCGGGCUGGCAAGGC